UCCUGGCUCAGGAUGAACGCUGGCGGCGUGCCUAACACAUGCAAGUCGAACGAAGCAUACGGACCGGAGAUUCGUCGAAGGACUGUAUGACGUUAGUGGCGGACGGGUGAGUAAUGUAUGAGCAACCUGCCUUUCAGAGGGGGACAACAGUUGGAAACGACUGCUAAUACCGCGUAACGUAUCGUGAGGGCAUCCUCGUGAUACCAAAGGAGCAAUCCGCUGAAAGAUGGGCUCAUAUCUGAUUAGCUUGUUGGCGGGGUAACGGCCCACCAAGGCGACGAUCAGUAGCCGGACUGAGAGGUUGAACGGCCACAUUGGGACUGAGAUACGGCCCAGACUCCUACGGGAGGCAGCAGUGGGGAAUAUUGGGCAAUGGGCGAAAGCCUCGACCCAGCAACGCCGCGUGAAGGAAGAAGGUCUUCGGAUUGUAAACUUCUUUUAUGAGGGACGAAGGACGUGACGGUACCUCAUGAAUAAGCCACGGCUAACUACGUGCCAGCCGCUGC
This 506-nucleotide ribosomal RNA is filed under the name uncultured bacterium. Its description in RNAcentral is "bacterial SSU rRNA". It matches the Rfam family "Bacterial small subunit ribosomal RNA", at positions 17 to 518 of the family's 1533-position model. The record is from RNAcentral.